GAUGAACGCUGGCGGCGUGCCUAAUACAUGCAAGUCGAGCGAACGGACGCGAAGCUUGCUUCUCUGAUGUUAUCGGCGGACGGGGGAGUAAUACGUGGAGAACCUACUUAUAAGACUGGGAUAAUUUCGGGAAACCGGAGCUAAUAACGGAUAAUAUUUUGAACCUCAUGGUUCAAAAGUGAAAGACGGUCUUGCUGUCACUUAUAGAUGGAUCCGCGCUGCAUUAGCUAGUUGGUAAGGUAACGGCUUACCAAGGCAACGAUGCAUAGCCGACCUGAGAGGGUGAUCGGCCACACUGGAACUGAGACACGGUCCAGACUCCUACGGGAGGCAGCAGUAGGGAAUCUUCCGCAAUGGGCGAAAGCCUGACGGAGCAACGCCGCGUGAGUGAUGAAGGUCUUCGGAUCGUAAAACUCUGUUAUUAGGGAAGAACAUAUGUGUAAGUAACUGUGCACAUCUUGACGGUACCUAAUCAGAAAGCCACGGCUAACUACGUG
Molecule: ribosomal RNA, 497 nt
Filed under: uncultured bacterium
Lineage: Bacteria
Description: partial 16S ribosomal RNA
Rfam family: Bacterial small subunit ribosomal RNA
Source: RNAcentral